ACGAACUAAAGGGUGUUCAGAAUAGGCCGAGGCACACAGACUCCAGUUGGAAAAGGAGACGGAGAGUCGACGUAAUUGAAUAGAAAAGUGAGAGACCUGAGCGAACCGCAAAGGACGUGAACACUUCAAGAUCAAAACAUGGACUCCUUCCAAAGGAGCAAGAAGGAAUCUCUGCACUGCAGUUAAUUACCGUUUGGGGCGUUCGUCUCAAUUUUCAAUUCCUUUGGCACGCAAGAUCUUAAAGAAACACUGAAAGAUGCACAGCAGCGCCGUCAGGAGAACCCAGCCAGUGAAAGAGACGCCUUCACCGUAGCCAAGACUCGCAAUGCAAAACUGAUACAGGAAGUCCAACAAGAAAUGGCGCGCUUGAGGACGCUGAAGGUGUCUCCACUGAUGGCGCACCUUCAUCAGCUUAGCGACAACUACCUAGCCUCCUGACUCGCUGCGAGCCGUCUUUGAUCUUUGGACAAAGGACUUCGUAUCACGCCCGUCCCAGGUUCAGGACCCAGCAAGUGUCUCAUCCAGAAUGCCCUCCAGAGGAUGCGUUUCUUCGCAGUGAUUAUGCAAAUGUAGAUUUCUGUCAUGUCUUUCUUAUUCUUCUUCGUUCGCUUGUUAGAAUUUAGUGUGUCUUCCAAAAGUUUUGGAGCCGUUCCAGAGGCUUGUGCCUCUAUUACUAAUAUUACUAUUGAAGAAUGUUUUCAAGUGGAUUAUCAAGUAUAAAUUGCGUAGGUUUCUGUGUUUGUCUCCAGUAGAGUGACAUGAAAUCACUUAGUUUUCAUCGCUUUGUCUGUUUGCAAAUGGCUAGCUAUUAAGUUAAGGAAUGACGAGAGUUAUCGUAGAAGUAUCUUAGAGUAUAUUUGAUCCAUAAGUGAAUUAUCAAAGCAUUUUGAAAAACCUCAAAAUAGGAAUUCACGAUGAAAAGAAUUUUAAUCGGUUAGGUCACAAACAUCGCUUAUCAAACUAGUCCUUCUCAGCGACCAUGGAUUGUAUUGUAGUUAUUACUUCUUCUACUCGGAACAUGAGGAAACACCCGUAAGAAUAAACAUUUCAUAUCACUAAUGGAAUAUUCAGUUAUAUGCUGAAGAUAUUUAUGACACAGCACUUUUCAGAAUUCAAAAGUGAAUGUUUAUGAUCAACGUUUAUUAGACGUUUGAACAUAGACUCUGUAAGCCAUCUAGGAUAUUGCAAUUUGACUAUACAUAAAAAAUCUUUUAGUACUAUUUAAGUAAAGAUCUGGAGAUGAUAAAAGCUUUCAAGCCACUUUGAAAAACAACUUGUUCAGCCGUAAAAAAAAAUUCACAUGAAAAAAAAAGUUAGAUUAAUCUUGCCUAGAUAGUGACCCCAAAGGGUUUUAACCCUGUAUGUAUCCUCCACUGCGGCGUGUUUAGUACAAGCCCGUUGGGGUUUACCGUAAAAACAUAAACAAAAGACUGUAAAAUAUUGAAAUAUCUUGAAUUUUUCAUUGUGACUUUAUUACCGGCCACCGUAAAUUGAUGUGACUUUUUAUCCUGUGACUUUUUUUUACUAACAAAAAUUGUGACAUUUUUUUUUCUCUGUGACCUUUUUUCCUGUAACUAUCUUUCCGGCCACCGUCUCAUUUGCCACGUGAACUAACCAAAAAAUAGUCCGUAGGUUAACUAUAUACAAAAUCUUGUCAUAUACUCUGUUCUUUCCCUUUAUAUAGUUGUUUGGUAAACGGCAACUUCAUUCCGACUUCACGGCUUCCAGAUUAGUUAUUCUUAGGAGAAAAUGAAGUAUCUUUUCUUCGCUUGUAAUGACGAACGCAAAGGAACAGCAAAAUGUAAGUGGACGAAAAAAAUAAUGAUGGUAUUUCGUUAUGAAUUUUUAUCGCCCUCACGCAACUUUUAAAAACAAUGGAAUAUCUUCUGUUUGAUGAAACGAGUUCGUUUCGUCCCAGUUGGUUUGGGCAGAACUUGGAGGUCCGCACCAGACAUCCUGCUAACUUUAAUACCCCAGGAUAAGGUUCUGUAUUUGCAUCUUAACCAACUAACCACUCGCUUCAUGGGGGGAGACGAACCUAAAACAAUUUCGACCAUAGACAUAAUUCGCGUUUAUUUUGACCAAAAGUAAGAUCAGCUAUUUCGUAACCACUUCGAUUCGGUUGUUCCCCGCCGCGCCAGCUCCAGUGGGCCGUGGUUCCUGCUUCAUUUAAUACCUCCUUGGGUCACUAGUGGAUUAGCACUUUCUCUAGGACUAUUCAGCACGGCAGAAAAAUAUUGCACAAACUUAGUGUUGGUAGAAAGAUAGCCAUUAGGUAAGUUUCGUCAACGUUAGCACAGACUUCCUGGAAAAGCCGAUUCGGGUAUCAGUGUGAUCUGACUUCCAGUAACUUUAGACUUAAGCAUAAUUAAGGUCGUGUUUUUAAUGAUAAUUUUUUAAUCUUUCCUGGGUCGUGAUAAGAUUGAGUAGACGAUGGCGGUUCAGGUAGAGUCCAACAAAGAGUUUUGCGUGUCGUAGUUUUAGCCAAAAUCACGUGUCUGUCUAAAAUAAAACUAUAGCAGAUUCACAUCAACCGAGCAUUUGAUGUCUAGGCCAGGCCCUUACGAUGCUCCUGAUUGGUUGUUGAUAAACCAAUCACACGCUAGAAACUCCCAGUCUCUCUCGAGAGUUCACGUAGGCAGGAUCUAUGUUUCACCUCCCCUGAGGGAUACUUUUGAAAGACGUAUCUAUCAGGAGAGACGGAACACAGAUCCUACCCAUGUGAACUCUCGAGAGAGACUGAGAGUUUCCAGCCCUGUGAUCGUCUUAUCACCAGCCAAUCAGGAGCGUCGUAAGGGACUGGCCUAGACAUGAGAUGCACGCUUGAUGUGAAUCUACUAUAGUAACAAAUGCACGAGUUUUGGGAGGAAGAAUUGAUAUCGCUAAAUGCAGUUAUGCUUAACUUGUGAGGAGGGAAAACGGCUACAUUUAAAAACGACAAAUCCUUAUUCCAGGAGUAAAAGAAAAAAUGUUGCCCUUAACUUGAUAAACAUUAUUUUGAAUGGAGCAGUAAGCUUUUCUUGUAAAACAUUUCGAUAUCAUCUCCACAUAAGGGAAAAAAACAAGAUUUUGAUCAAUAUAACCAGUUGUAACCGUCCCUUAGGCCUAUUGCAGGCGUCAAUGCAUAGUUUUGGGGUACGUCGUUUGGCAGUCAUUUGAAGAAAUACUUCCUCCAUCACAGAUUCAAAUUGUAUUUUGCAAACUUGCCCCAAAGGCCCGAGAAUCCGUUAGCAGAAGCUUUGAUUUUGAGGCUUAGGAACUUUCAUUUGAAUGAAAUGAUGUUACUGAGACAUUUGGAGGCAACUGAGAUUAAGUUUAAUUAGAUAGUAUAAAAUAUUGCCAUGCAGCACGAUGUUAAGAUAAUUUCUUGUCGUUGAAGAUUUCAUUAUCUCCAAAAACGAUGUUCCACAAAUAACAAGAUAAAUAAA
Molecule: long non-coding RNA, 3428 nt
Organism: Macrobrachium nipponense
Lineage: Eukaryota; Metazoa; Arthropoda; Malacostraca; Decapoda; Palaemonidae
Exons: 3
Source: RefSeq, a predicted model, not a curated record